GUGGAGAGAGGGACAGAGGCUGGAGAAGGAUGCAUGGCCUGCCCUGGGCUUGUCUGUUCCCUCCUGAGCCUGAGCCCCUUACCUUCCUGACCCCAUGAAGCACGCACUGGCUCUGCUGGCUCCCCUGCUGGGCCUGGGCCUGGGGCUGGCCCUGAGUCGGCUGGCAGCAGGGGCCACAGACUGCAAGUUCCUUGGCCCGGCAGAGCACCUGACAUUCACCCCAGCAGCCAGGGCCCGGUGGCUGGCCCCUCGAGUUCAUGCGCCAGGACUCCUGGAUUCCCUCUAUGGCACCGUGCGCCGCUUCCUCUCGGUGGUGCAGCUCAAUCCUUUCCCUUCAGAGUUGGUAAAGGCCCUACUGAAUGAGCUGGCCUCCGUGAAGGAGCUGCAGGCCGUGGCACAGCAAUUCUCCCUGCCCCAGGAGCAAGUCUCAGAGGAGCUGGAUGGUGUUGGUGUGAGCAUUGGGAGUGCGAUCCACACUCAGCUCAGGAGCUCCGUGUACCCCUUGCUGGCGGCCGUGGGCAGUUUGGGCCAGGUCCUGCAGGUCUCCGUGCACCACCUGCAAACCUUGAAUGCUACAGUGGUAGAACUGCAGGCCGGGCAGCAGGACCUGGAGCCAGCCAUCCGGGAACACCGGGACCGCCUCCUUGAGCUGCUGCAGGAGGCCGGGUGCCCUCUGUGGACCAUGUCCUGCACCAGCUAAAAGGUGUCCCCGAGGCCAACUUCUCCAGCAUGG
RNAcentral lists this small RNA (733 nucleotides) under Pan troglodytes (chimpanzee). RNAcentral describes it as "processed transcript". Lineage: Eukaryota; Metazoa; Chordata; Mammalia; Primates; Hominidae. The record is from RNAcentral.